This 254-nucleotide ribosomal RNA is filed under the name uncultured bacterium. Its description in RNAcentral is "partial 16S ribosomal RNA". It matches the Rfam family "Bacterial small subunit ribosomal RNA", at positions 524 to 776 of the family's 1533-position model. The record is from RNAcentral.
UACGUAGGAUCCAAGCGCUAUCCGGAAUUACUGGGCGUAAAGCGUGCGCAGACGGUUUGGUAGGUCUUAUGCGAAAUCCGGUGGCUCAACCACCUGGACUGUAUGAGAAACCCCCUGACUUGAGGUAGGUAGAGGUACAUGGAAUUUCUGGUGUAGGAGUGACAUCCGUAGAUAUCAGAAGGAACACCAAUGGCGAAGGCAGUGUACUGGGCCUUACCUGACGUUCAUGCACGAAAGCGUGGGUAGCAAACAGG